GACGAACGCUGGCGGCGUGCUUAACACAUGCAAGUCGAACGGAAAGGCCCUGCUUUUGUUGGGUGCUCGAGUGGCGAACGGGUGAGUAACACGUGAGUAACCUGCCCUUGACUUUGGGAUAACUUCAGGAAACUGGGGCUAAUACCGGAUAGGAGCUCCUGCUGCAUGGUGGUGGUUGGAAAGUGUCGGCGGUGGGGGAUGGACUCGCGGCUUAUCAGCUUGUUUGUGGGGUAGUUGCUGACCAAGGCUUUGACGGGUAGCCGGCCUGAGAGGGGGGACGGGGACAAGGGGACUGAGAUAGGGCGCAGUAGGCAACGGGAGGCAGUGGUGGAAAAUAUGGCGCAAUGGGGGGGAGCGUGAGGCGGAAAUGCCGCGUGCGGGAUGCCGGCUUACGGGGUGUAAACAGCUUUGGAAUGUGACGAAGAGUGAGUGACGGUAAUGGGUCAAGAAGCACCGGCUAACUACGUG
This 468-nucleotide ribosomal RNA is filed under the name uncultured bacterium. RNAcentral describes it as "partial 16S ribosomal RNA". It matches the Rfam family "Bacterial small subunit ribosomal RNA", at positions 28 to 507 of the family's 1533-position model. The record is from RNAcentral.